GAGCAGAUGGCGAAAUUGGUAGACGCAUCACACUCAAAAUGUGACCCUUUUCGGAUGAGGGUUCGAAUCCCUUUCUGCUUA
RNAcentral lists this transfer RNA (81 nucleotides) under Chlorobotrys sp. RNAcentral's name for it is "tRNA-Leu". It matches the Rfam family "tRNA". Rfam says of the family: Transfer RNA (tRNA) molecules are approximately 80 nucleotides in length. The record is from RNAcentral. Lineage: Eukaryota; Eustigmatophyceae; Eustigmatales; Chlorobotryaceae.